GUGCUCAUUUUGGCAGCACACAUACUAAAAUUGGAACAAUGGACAGUAGAUUAGCAUGAUCCCUGGACCAGGAUGACAUGCAAAUUCAUAAAGCAGUCCAUAUUUUU
Talpa occidentalis (Iberian mole) is the source of this 107-nucleotide small nuclear RNA. The record is from RefSeq and is a predicted model, not a curated record. Lineage: Eukaryota; Metazoa; Chordata; Mammalia; Eulipotyphla; Talpidae.